Molecule: transfer RNA, 66 nt
Filed under: Salmo salar (Atlantic salmon)
Lineage: Eukaryota; Metazoa; Chordata; Actinopteri; Salmoniformes; Salmonidae
Rfam family: tRNA
About the family: Transfer RNA (tRNA) molecules are approximately 80 nucleotides in length. Their secondary structure includes four short double-helical elements and three loops (D, anti-codon, and T loops).
Source: Rfam by way of RNAcentral
UCCUGUGUGGCUCAGUUGGUAGAGCAUGGUGCUUGCAACGCCAAGGUUGUUCGAUUCCCACGGGGG